This 30-nucleotide non-coding RNA is filed under the name Homo sapiens (human). The record is from RNAcentral. Lineage: Eukaryota; Metazoa; Chordata; Mammalia; Primates; Hominidae.
UGGAAAAGCUAAACUAGAGCCCAGUGCUGG